AAGUCGUAACAAGGUUUCCGUAGGUGAACCUGCGGAAGGAUCAUUACUGAAUUACUGAAGGGUUGCAGCUGGCUCCUCGGAGUAUGUGCUCGCCUUUCAAAUUCAUCUUAACCACCUGUGCACUUUUGUAGACUGUGUUAACUCUCAAUGCUUUCUAAGCAAUGGAUAGAGAGACUGCGCUAUUAGCUGUCUUUCGAUUUCACAGUCUACGUUUUAUAUCAUAUACACAAAGUCUUAGAAUGUUAUUUUGUGGGUCUUAACGACCUAUAGAACUAAUACAACUUUCAACAACGGAUCUCUUGGCUCUCGCAUCGAUGAAGAACGCAGCGAAAUGCGAUAAGUAAUGUGAAUUGCAAAAUUCAGUGAAUCAUCGAAUCUUUGAACGCACCUUGCACUCCUUGGUAUUCCGAGGAGUAUGCCUGUUUGAGUGUCAUUAAAUUCUCAAACCUUCAUGGUUUUCGUGACUUUUGAAGGCUUUGGAUGUGGGAGUUGCUGGCUUUUAACAAGUCAGCUCUCCUUAAACGCAUUAGUGGUUACUGUUCUCCACUUUGAUGUGAUAGUUAUCUGCAUCUAUAGGUGGAGAUGUUAAGUGUAGCUGCUCUCUAACCGUCCAAAUUGCUUGGACAGCUUUGAACCAUUUGACCUCAAAUCACGUAGGACUACCCGCUGAACUUAA
RNAcentral lists this ribosomal RNA (676 nucleotides) under uncultured fungus. RNAcentral describes it as "eukaryotic LSU rRNA". The stretch from base 280 to 433 matches the Rfam family "5.8S ribosomal RNA". The record is from RNAcentral. Lineage: Eukaryota; Fungi.